GCCUGAAUAGCUCAGUCGGUUGAGCCCGGGGCUCUGGUCGAUAACCUGUUCCAAAAGGUUGUGGGUUCGAUUCCCACCUCAGCCA
This 85-nucleotide transfer RNA is filed under the name Xenopus laevis (African clawed frog). It matches the Rfam family "tRNA". Rfam says of the family: Transfer RNA (tRNA) molecules are approximately 80 nucleotides in length. The record is from Rfam by way of RNAcentral. Lineage: Eukaryota; Metazoa; Chordata; Amphibia; Anura; Pipidae.